CUACGUGCCAGCAGCCGCGGUAAUACGGAAGGUCCGAGCGUUAUCCGGAUUUAUUGGGUUUAAAGGGAGCGUAGGCUGGAGAUUAAGUGUGUUGUGAAAUGUAGACGCUCAACGUCUGACUUGCAGCGCAUACUGGUUUCCUUGAGUACGCACAACGUUGGCGGAAUUCGUCGUGUAGCGGUGAAAUGCUUAGAUAUGACGAAGAACUCCGAUUGCGAAGGCAGCUGACGGGAGCGCAACUGACGCUGAAGCUCGAAGGUGCGGGUAUCGAACAGGAUUAGAUACCCUGGUAGUCCGCACAGUAAACGAUGGAUGCCCGCUGUUGGUACCUGGUAUCAGCGGCUAAGCGAAAGCAUUAAGCAUCCCACCUGGGGAGUACGCCGGCAACGGUGAAACUCAAAGGAAUUGACGGGGGCCCGCACAAGCGGAGGAACAUGUGGUUUAAUUCGAUGAUACGCGAGGAACCUUACCCGGGCUUGAAUUGCAGAGGAAGGAUUUAGAGAUA
Molecule: ribosomal RNA, 505 nt
Filed under: uncultured bacterium
Lineage: Bacteria
Description: bacterial SSU rRNA
Rfam family: Bacterial small subunit ribosomal RNA
Source: RNAcentral